CUGGCCCCGGUUCACGUACGAGCAGUCCGCGCGUGCGACCCGGAGCC
Molecule: non-coding RNA, 47 nt
Organism: Streptomyces sp. AcH 505
Lineage: Bacteria; Bacillati; Actinomycetota; Actinomycetes; Kitasatosporales; Streptomycetaceae
Source: Rfam